Leopardus geoffroyi (Geoffroy's cat) is the source of this 3487-nucleotide long non-coding RNA. RefSeq lists it as uncharacterized. The record is from RefSeq and is a predicted model, not a curated record. The transcript is spliced from 5 exons. Lineage: Eukaryota; Metazoa; Chordata; Mammalia; Carnivora; Felidae.
UUAGGAAGGGUAUCGGACAGUCAGAGGAGAGCCUAAAGUAGCACAAAGGCGGUAGCCACACUCAUCAUGGCGGCCAAAGGGCGACCGAGCGGAGGGGGGUGGAGCCACCCCUGGCGGUUGGGGCACGUUGCCGUCUCCGUCGUCGCAUUUAUUGGUUUGUUUGAGAAGGAAUCAGAAAGGCAAUGGGUGGAAGUGGACGUCGGUCAAAGUUAGUCCCGCCUCCAGGCUCUCAACGCGCUUCUCAGCGCCGGGACUCCUUCAAGAUCGCCAGUGCCUUCCUUGCUCGGUUUGCCCUUUUCUCCGGGGUGACGUCACGGCGUAGCCGUCACACCCUCGAGACGUGCGAACGGCUCCGCAGGGUGUGGAGAAGGUGGAGGGUGCAGUUGGGUGAGGUACCCUUGGGGUGUCGACUCCUGCCUGCUAGGCUGAAAGGCCUUGAGCUACGGGACGCGAUGGAACUGGGAAGCUUACCGUUUGACGACGCUUGUUCCAAGGCGGAAGUGCUCUCUGCAGCCUCUGUCGCCGCCCUCUCUGUAACCUUGUUGGGCUGGGUGGGGAGUUCCUGCCCAUUCUCAACUUGGGGUCCAGAGCUCAAAUGACCACCCAUCUUGGGGGCCUCGAAGAGUUGGGCUUUUUUCCCCCUGCCGCGGCUUGGGCCAUUAAGCAAGUGAGAUUCGGCCCAUGCGGUUUGGCGUCGUUUCAAGGGCCUUGACUUUUGUGUCACCUCCCUGAAUUUGAGUUUUCUCUGGUUGACCACGUAGGUCCAGUGGGGAAGUUCUUGAGGUGAAAACUGAUCGCGCUCGGCAAAAUGAAAAAAAGAGGUUCAGCAUGUUUGGGGCUGGGUGCGAAACCGUUCCCUCUUGGACGUAUUUCAGACCCAAUGGUAGUCGUUAAGGAAGAGACCUUCACCCAGGCCCUGCCAGGCCCUGGAAGCCUGUGCUGAGCCCGGCGGGAGAAGGGCCACCGACCCCCAAAGUAGUCAGCUAGGGGUUGCGGAAACGGAGCUGUUAGGUUGACACCUGGUUGGUGGGACUGGAGGACGUUUCAUGAAGGAGGUAGCAUUCGUACCGGACCUUGUAAAGGUAACGUGAUUCCAACAGGUGGGAGUUGAGAACCUAGACUAUUCUGGUUACAGCCGAGGGGCCAUUUCCCAAGUUUGAAAGAACCCAGCCCUUGCUGUAGAAACUGGUUUCUGCCAUUACUACUGACAGCUUUACUGCCGUGUGUUGCCUUUUUUUUUUUGCAGGGAGAAGAGGGAUGAUGAUUAAAUACAUCAGAUAAGAGCUAAACCUGAUGGUAAAGAUUAGAGAGAUCAAGGGCCUCCUUGGACUCCUCCCCUGGACCCUCUGCAUCCAGCCGGCUGGUUAGCUAAGAGAGAGAAAACCACGAAAGGUAGUGAACGCUGGAAAUGGUGUCAGGUAUUUCUUCCCACGUCGUGUUGGUCUGACCCAGUUGUCCGGCCCCAACCUGAGUCAAGCAAACUGGGACAUGGCUUCCUAUGUGCUCAGGAGGAAGAAAUGGGAAUGAUGAGCAUCUGGCCAAUCUCUGCUGCAGCUGCUAAUUUUGGUGGCCUCCAGGCCAGAGCUACUGACUUGCUGAGGAAGAGAGGUAGGAGGAUUAUACUCUUGUACACAUUGGAUUUUAUAAAUCCAAAUAUUGCCUCUUCAAAUAAAUUAAAAAAGAGGAGACUGGUGGAAUUAUGGGUCAUCCAUACCAUGUGAGAGUGAAGUACAUCUGUACAUACUGGAAUGGAACGAUCUUCAGUGGAGAUGGGCAACAUUUAAAAGCCAGAGAAUACCAAGUGCUGGCCGAAAUAAAGAGCCGCUGAAACUCUCAGACCUUGCUAGGUGGAAUGUCAGCGGAUGCAACCUCUUUGGAAAGCAGGUAUGUGGACAGAAGAAGCAGACGAGGGAAAGGAAGCAGGGCAGGCAGGCUCCAGGGUUCUCAUUUCCCCGUCUAUCUCCCCAGCCCAUCUAGAUCUGGACCAGGGGAAGCUACAGAAGACAGAUACAGAGAAUACAAAGAACCCAAGAGCAUCAGAGGCUUGUGGACCACUUCCCCAGGUUUCAUAUACAGGCAGGCUCUCCCAUCAUGCUCCAAAAUGGCUCCAGAAUGCACAGCCUUUUUCAUUCAAACGUAGUGGAAUCUAUCAAAGGAUUCAUUGGGUCUCAUUGACUCUCAUUGGGUCACAUGAAAUGCCUGAACCAACCGCAGUGCUUAGCAUCAAAGGGAAGUGCUGCUUGGCUUAGAUCUCUGGAGCUAGGACUGGGUGAAAUCAUGGCAUGGAACCUGGAUGACUAGGGAAAAGAUGAUAUUGAAUAGCCAAAAUGCUACAUAUCCUGUAUCUUCUUUUAAUGGUUGAAGCAGAACUUUUCCUUUUUUUUGUAUCUGUGGAUCAUCUGGAGAUCCUGUCAAAAGUGCGGAAUCUGAUGAAGUAGGUCUGGGGUGGGGCAAAUUGAUUUCAUCUGUUUCUUUUUACCUUUUUAACAUGGUUACUAGAGAAUUAAAAAAUACAUGGUUUCCGCUGGAUAGUGCUAUCCUAGAAGGAGGUAAUGAAGUGGAUGAAGAUGUUGAUCUUGAAACACAUUCAUUUUCACUUAUGAAUACUCAAUCAGAAGAACCAGAUAUAGCAGAGACCACAUGAGACUUACCUCAUGGGUCCUUGGACUUGGUCCACCCUCAGGACCUCAGGGUUAUGUGGCUGCAGGUUGAAUUAAUGCAUGAGUGCUUAGGAUCGAGGACACUGGAACGAGCCUGGUACGGUUUGACCUGAGGAAAGAGGAAAUGCUGGGGAUCCCAGAGUUGCUCCCCCCAACCAGCAGUCACUUCAUUUCCCAUUUUUGUUUACGCAGUUGUCUGAAUUACAGGAAUUACAACUGUGCUUAUCAACUUCCCUGAUCUGUCCUGCACACAUCCACUCAACUGAUCUCUGCACUCCCUUUUAGCCCUUUCCUGCCCAGACAUAUGCACCCAGCUGCAGUCUGCUUUCUAGGAACUCCCUACUGAACCCAGAAUGUCUUGUCCUACCAGUCCACAGGCCCCCAAAUGUGUCUCUCACUUUCCCCAUCUGUCUAAGUUACUCCCUUACUGUUUGAAUCUCUGUCUCCACCAGCCCCACCUUUCAAAGCCCACGUCAAGGUUAUCUGCCUCCAGAGAGGCCUUUUCAAGACCUGGCCCACAGAAGCCUGCCUUCAGAACUUGUAGGACAUGCUGUCUUUGGCCAGCGUAUCUGCUAUGGAGGGCUGUGUUGUCUAACUCUUAAGUUAUUAGGGUUUUCCUGCAUUUGUGCCUUGAUUCUUUGGGCUGUAAGUUCCUUGGGGACAGAGGCCUGUUUGGUUUCCCCUAUUUGAAUUCCCCUUUUGACCAGGGCCUGUAUAAUAAAUAGAUCCUCAAAAAAUAUAAUUUGGCUCACUUUCCCAAUACAAAACAAAAUGCUAGUUGAAAAUACAUAGACUUUUAUAUGAAAUAUAUGCAUAAACAUAUAUUU